UACGUAGGGUGCAAGCGUUGUCCGGAAUUAUUGGGCGUAAAGAGCUCGUAGGCGGUCUGUCGCGUCGGUCGUGAAAACUUGGGGCUUAACCCUGAGCUUGCGGUCGAUACGGGCAUGACUGGAGUUCGGCAGGGGAGACUGGAAUUCCUGGUGUAGCGGUGAAAUGCGCAGAUAUCAGGAGGAACACCGGUGGCGAAGGCGGGUCUCUGGGCCGAUACUGACGCUGAGGAGCGAAAGCGUGGGGAGCGAACAGG
This 254-nucleotide ribosomal RNA is filed under the name uncultured bacterium. Its description in RNAcentral is "partial 16S ribosomal RNA". It matches the Rfam family "Bacterial small subunit ribosomal RNA", at positions 524 to 776 of the family's 1533-position model. The record is from RNAcentral.